UACGUAGGGUGCAAGCGUUGUCCGGAAUUAUUGGGCGUAAAGAGCUUGUAGGCGGUUUGUCGCGUCUGCCGUGAAAAUUCGAGGCUCAACCUCGAACUUGCGGUGGGUACGGGCAGACUAGAGUGUGGUAGGGGAGACUGGAAUUCCUGGUGUAGGCGGUGAAAUGCGCAGAUAUCAGGAGGAACACCGGUGGCGAAGGCGGGUCUCUGGGCCGAUAUUGACGCUGAGGAGCGAAAGCGUGGGGAGCGAACAGG
Molecule: ribosomal RNA, 254 nt
Filed under: uncultured bacterium
Lineage: Bacteria
Description: partial 16S ribosomal RNA
Rfam family: Bacterial small subunit ribosomal RNA
Source: RNAcentral